GCAAUACUGCACUCAAAUGUCAAUGUCAGGUUUACUGCAGAAGUGUCGUGUGAGUGCGUAUUGUGGUGUUUUAAAGUUAAGAAAUUCUCUGAGGCCGAUACACACGUACAAAAUGGCUGAUAAAUCUACGGACUAUUCAACGGCCAAUGGUUUUGAGAGUAAAACUCCUUUCCUGAUCGGCGUGGCUGGUGGCACAGCCAGCGGCAAGUCAACAGUAUGCCAGCGUAUCAUGGAGAAGCUUGGCCAGCAGCACAAAGAGCAGACAGAACGCCGCGUCGUUUGCAUCAGCCAGGACUCCUUCUACCGCACCCUCACUCCCUCGGAGAGGCUCCGGGCUGAACGGGGACAGUUCAACUUUGAUCAUCCCGAUGCUUUUGAUGAUAAGAAGCUGCUGGCUAUUCUGAAGGAUAUACUGGCCGGCAAGAAGGUUGAGGUUCCGGAGUAUGAUUAUAUCACAAACUCUAUUAGCCCACAUCGCUCGCACACCAUCUACCCAGCAGACGUAGUGCUGAUCGAAGGCAUCCUCGUGUUCUACUUCCCUGAGGUCCGUGAGCUCUUCCACAUGAAGCUCUUCGUUGAUACUGACUCCGACACCAGGCUGGCUAGGAGAGUGCCCCGCGACAUAAUGGAGCGCGGUCGUGAUCUGGAGCAGGUGCUCAACCAGUACAUGAACUUCGUCAAGCCUGCCUUCGAGGAGUUCUGCUUGCCGACCAAGAAGUUUGCUGACGUGAUCAUUCCCAGGGGCGCUGAUAAUCUGGUGGCAAUUGAUCUAAUCGUGCAGCACAUAUCGGACUACCUGAAGCGCAGCCCGGUGGAUAAGAACAUCGCUUUGGAGCUCGGUCUGUCCUCGUCCUCAGUGCCCGGGAGUCCGCAGCGCGCGGGGAAGGGGGGGAGGCCGCAUUAAAUGUUUUUUAGGUUAGAUACUUGAGCGAUAUUGAUCAGCAAUAAUCGGAGGCGUACGACCAUCGCAUCUCCCCUGGCGGGUUUCUUCACGCGUUAGCUUCUCAGUGUGGCGGGAAAAUGGGUGACGUUUUACCCAAAGAAUCUUUCACUUUUUAUCUCCAAAUAUUUUGACGUUUAACGUCAUAUUUAAGGUUAGGGUCGUGCAACACUGGCUUGUUAAUCACAGGACUUGAAUAAAAACUAAUUAUGAAAAUUAUAAUCGGGAGUGAUAAAAUGGAGGCAGAGAGAUUAUUUAGCUACAAAAUAAACGUACAGACUGUGAGAUUAAGGCAAAUUUGCGUCCUGUGAUUAAUUUGUCCAUGAGUUCAUUGACCGAGUUUGUAAUGUCACCGACCUAUAGUGUUGGCAUCGCUUGGAGCUGUGCUCACUCCCAAAGGGACAGUGGUCGUGAACGUACACUUUGUUCGAAACGUUUUGAAAAGUAGAUAAGCUUAAAUUAGAUAUUUACACUAAAUUAAAUGGGCUCGUGACUAGACCGGACCUAUAGUGGUGUGCCUUGGUAAAAAAGGUGAAUGUUGAAAUUGAUAUAAAUUAUUAAAAACACGUAGGUAUAGUUGACUUUUAAUAUCUCAUUACCGUUGCAAAUUAGAAGUUUUGUCAAUUCUCUUCGCGAAAUCUAGUAAUUGCGUAAAGCACAAAAUAUUUUUUACCAUGUUCCGCCUGUUUCAAAGAGUAAAGUUCCCGCCAUUUUAUCGCUGCGCCAUAUUGAAAAAAAAUAUUGCACUCUAUAGAUUAUUGUAAUGUAAGUAAAUAAUUUUCUAAACGGAAUUUUGAAUUAAUCUCCUAAGAGAACUACAUAUCUAGAGAUAAAAACUAUAUAGAACUCAUCUAGUUAGUUACUAGUCAAUCAAUUUGUUUCUAAAAUAAAUAUAAUAUGCUCAACGGCAUUAGUACUUAUUCGGUCUGUUAUAAAUUUUGAUGUGUUAUUUUCGUCAUUCUAUUGAAUUGUUAUAAGGACAAAUUAUUGUAAUAUUUACGUAGCCUACCAUAAGAAUUGAAAAGCAUUGUUUUCAAAAAUCUUGAUGAAAGAAAAUUUUUGGUAGAGCACUAAAAAUAUUUGCUUACCACGGCUUUUGUCGGCUAACUGACCUUAUUUUUUAAAUGAAGCUAUAAGUGACUAGGAUCUAUCGAGUUUACCUUAGCUUCCGAAGAUUCUGAACAGAGUAACUAGUCAGAUGUUAAAUGUAAAAAAUGAUCGAGGCUGUUAAAAAUUUGAUUGUCGUAUUAUAUCGCGAUAUUCGCUAUUAUGUUGUUGAUUUUAUUUAUUUAUAGUUUGUAGUUAGAGUAAGGCGUAGCUUGUAGCUCGAGGCUAUAUUCCUCAUUGUAUUGUACAAGUGAUCGCUUCGGGUAGGUGUCGCGGGAAGGCCUGCAAGACUGUUUGGAAGGCGUUCUAGCCAGUAAUGAAGCUUUUAUUAGAUGUACGUCUAUGUGCUUCCAGUGGAAUUAAAUUAUGCCCGAUAUAGCAGGCUGGUCGCGGCUUAUAUACUUUUUUCGGCAAUAUUAGCAAGAAAAUAUUGUGUACCAAGUACACAAUCUAAAUAAAAAAUCAGUUUUUUUUUUUUUCACUGUCAAUAAAUGUAUCUAUGGUUCGCCUGGUGUUGCCAGGAUUUGCACAGCACUUUCAGUGAAAUGUAGAAGAAAUAAUUACGAUUGUAUUAAUUAAAAUCUUUAUAAUAUCAAUGGAUAAAUGACACCACCCCAUGAAGACAAGGUUUAAGAUAAUUUCAAUACACCUAGCGUUUCUCUCUUACGUAAGAUUUAAGAAGCAGGUUAGCAAUAUGAACACAUUAACAGAUAAAAUAGAUUUAGACUUGAAAUAGUUCGUGUACUUACAAUAGAGCCUAUUUAUUUUUCUUAUCUGUCUUACAAGAUAAACAUUUAGAACUUUUUCGUAUACAAGUUUUUUCUUAUUUUGUAAAACAAGUAAGAAAAAGUCUAUUGAUUAUUAUUUUUGUUUGUUACCAUUUUAUUGUGAAAAUUAAUUAGAUAUUGUUACGUGUAUUCGUUUUGAAAUAAUCGCAGAUUAAAGUUCAUAUAUUUUAAACCUAUUUACUCAUUUAUUUAAGUAUUUGAAAAUAUAAAAAGACAAGUGAAGAGAGAUUCUAUUUUGAAAAUCUGCUAUCAUUUCAAAAUAUACCAAUUUGUUUGUUUCUUAUUUAUUUGAUUGAAUUUAGCUUUUGCCGUUAAGAUGUUGGAGUGUAUUUGUCGCCUAUUAAUAUCGUACCAAAGAAAUUGUUUACAUGUUAGUUGUGUGAUUGUUUUAUAUUUAUUGCUGAAAAUUAGAAAUUAUUUAACUUUAUGUAUGACAUACGUAACUGUUGAACUGCUGGUCAUUUACAGAUUGAUGAAAAUUGAGAAUUAUUUCGUUAAUUUAAAUGUAAUGUACAUAGACUAGCAGGUCAACCUACCCCAAUCUGUCAAAUUUUGCUAAUUGAACAUUAACCUUCCACUAUUGUGAUAAGGUUGAAAAUCUAUUGAAGAAAUUUGGCAGAUUGAGGCUGGUUAAUGUACUGUCUGUACUAGGUAAGCCUUAAGUUGUUAUAAUUCAAGCGUGUCUAUCAAUUUUGUGUGUCUUACCAUAGCAAUAAACUUGCCUUAUUUAUUGUAUUCUUAUUAGUUACCAACUUGAAAAUAUUCGUUAUCCACUAAGUGAAGUACCACUAUAGUCAUUUUACGGCCUCUAUUUGCAUGAAAAAUAUAUUGUCUAUCAUCAGUUGUAAUAGUGCAGUUCUCACUAAAUAACUCUGCCGUUCCGAAGUUAAUGAACACAACAGUUCUGCGCUUGCGCAAGAGUCGGAUCCAUGACUUUUAAAUCAUCUGUUCAGGCUUUUCCCGACCAAGUCGGGGUCGGCUUCCAUUCUAACCGGAUUAAGCAGAGUGCCGGGCAAUCCAAUACUGGUUGUCGGACUGACUGGCUUUUCACUAUCCGUAACAACAGCAAUCGCUGACUUUUAGAUGGGUUAAAAGUUAUUUGAGAGAACUAUAUCCUAUUCUACAUUAAACAUUGAAUGAAAUUUGUACCCAUAUUGUUUCUAGCCAGCAGUAAAGACAUUUCGCUUCAUCGCUAACGCUAGAUAUUACUGUAAAUAAACGCAUAUUCCGUUCUACAUUCUAACAUUUUGUAUUCCGACGCAAUAGUUCGUGGUUUACACAAAUAUUGUACAAAAUAUAUUAUUUUUCAAAUA
Molecule: unclassified non-coding RNA, 4148 nt
Filed under: Helicoverpa zea (corn earworm)
Lineage: Eukaryota; Metazoa; Arthropoda; Insecta; Lepidoptera; Noctuidae
Description: uridine-cytidine kinase, transcript variant X3
Source: RNAcentral